GCAGAAUGGAAUGCAACCGCUUGAAAUAUAGAGGAAAGUCUGGGCUACUGUGGGACAGGGUUCUAUCUAACAGAUAGCCGUCGUGAGACGAGGGAAAGUGUAACAGAGAGUAGACCGCCUAUACUAUAUAGGUAAGGGUGAAACGGUGGGGUAAGAGCCCACCAGUUUUCUAAGCAAUUAGAAGAGCUAUAUAAACCCAACUCGUAGCAAGGAAACCUUGGUAUAAGUCCCACACUUAAAAGGUUUCCGCUUGAACUCUAUUGCAAAAUAGAAGUCUAGAUAAAUGGUUGCAGAAAAAACAGAACCCAGCUUAUUCCACUCUGCUAUU
RNAcentral lists this RNase P RNA (328 nucleotides) under Campylobacterales bacterium. Its description in RNAcentral is "RNase P RNA component class A". It matches the Rfam family "Bacterial RNase P class A". Rfam says of the family: Ribonuclease P (RNase P) is a ubiquitous endoribonuclease, found in archaea, bacteria and eukarya as well as chloroplasts and mitochondria. Its best characterised activity is the generation of mature 5'-ends of tRNAs by cleaving the 5'-leader elements of precursor-tRNAs. The record is from RNAcentral. Lineage: Bacteria; Pseudomonadati; Campylobacterota; Epsilonproteobacteria; Campylobacterales.